GUGAGUCAUCGAAUCUUUGAACGCACAUUGCGCCCGCCAGUAUUCUGGCGGGCAUGCCUGUUCGAGCGUCAUUUCAACCCUCAAGACCCCUUCGGGGGACUUGGUGUUGGGGACCGGCACAGGGCCUGCUUGCUUGUCUCGCAGCGCCUCGCCGCCUCCGAAAUGAAUUGGCGGCCUCGUCGCGGCCUCCUCUGCGUAGUAGCACAACCUCGCAACGGGAGCGUGACGCGGCCACUGCCGUAAAACAACCCAAUUUUAUUAGAGUUGACCUCGAAUCAGGUAGGAAUACCCGCUGAACUU
RNAcentral lists this unclassified non-coding RNA (300 nucleotides) under uncultured Metarhizium. RNAcentral describes it as "sequence contains 5.8S rRNA gene, ITS2". The stretch from base 1 to 71 matches the Rfam family "5.8S ribosomal RNA", at positions 84 to 154 of the family's 154-position model. Lineage: Eukaryota; Fungi; Ascomycota; Sordariomycetes; Hypocreales; Clavicipitaceae. The record is from RNAcentral.